UCAUAACAGCCCGAAGACGCAGGAUCUGCCAAGAACUCGUAGGCUAAGCAGGGUUGGCCCAGUUAGUGAUUGGAUGGGAGACUGCCUGAGAAAACCGCGUA
Molecule: ribosomal RNA, 101 nt
Filed under: Carlito syrichta (Philippine tarsier)
Lineage: Eukaryota; Metazoa; Chordata; Mammalia; Primates; Tarsiidae
Source: RNAcentral